This 583-nucleotide long non-coding RNA is filed under the name Physcomitrium patens. Its description in RNAcentral is "long non-coding RNA (PPAT_LNC003158)". The record is from RNAcentral. Lineage: Eukaryota; Viridiplantae; Streptophyta; Bryopsida; Funariales; Funariaceae.
GACUUCAAGGACGCUGCCGAAGGUCUUAUUAGGAAUUAGGAUUUGUUUUUGAGGUCAUUUGAGUUUUAAAGACUAAGAUCAUCAAAUUUAGGUUUUUGGAUAUGGAUUGGAUGUAAAUUUUGUAUAAUUUGGACUUUUUAUGAAGGAGUUAUUAGCACUCAAAGUUAAGGUAUCAAUUUCAUACCUACUAUCAUUUUUUGGGGCAUAACAUAUGUUUAUCAAAAGCAUCAAAGGAUCAAGGACUAAGAUUCGAAAGAAAACUUCUUUAGUUAUAUUUUUCAUAUAUUUUUUGAUGAAUUUAGAUUUUGGAUGAAGAAGUUAUAGAGAAUAAAAGUCAAUACAUCCAAAUCAAAGGUAGUAAAUAAGUUAUUUUGUUCAUAGUAAUGGUUGGAGCCAUAUCUUAAGUUUUUAGACGAAUUUUGGACUCAAACCUUUUGGAAAAGGUAAAUUAUUGUAUUAAAAAGCUAUAUAUAUAAAUUUUGUAGUAUUUUUGUCUUUAAUUUGUAAGAUAUGAAGAAAAUUAUACAUAGAUAAAUAAAAAUUAGGGCUUGAAGCUAUUGUUAGGAUUAUAGUGAUAUCUUAA